ACCUCAAGUCAAGUAAGAAUACCCGCUGAACUUAAGCAUAUCAAUAAGCGGAGGAAAAGAAACUAACAAGGAUUCCCCUAGUAACGGCGAGUGAAGCGGGAAGAGCUCAAAUUUUAAAUCUCCGAGGUUUCCUUGGCGAGUUGUAAUUUGAAGAGAGUGUUUUGACAUUCGGGUUUAAUCCAAAUCCUUUGGGAUAAGGUAUCAUAGAGGGUGAGAAUCCCGUUUAUGAUUGAAUCUCGUGUGUCGCUUAAUUCACUUUCCAAGAGUCGAGUUGUUUGGGAUUGCAGCUCAAAACGGGUGGUAAAUUUCACCUAAGGCUAAAUAUGUGCAAGAGACCGAUAGCGAACAAGUACCGUGAGGGAAAGAUGAAAAGAACUUUGAAAAGAGAGUUAAAUAGUACGUGAAAUUGUUAAAAGGGAAACGAUUGAAGUCAGUCAUGCUAGUGAGGAAUCAACCUGAUGGUGUGUGGGUUCUCCCUCGUACUUUCAGGUGCACUUUCUCACCCGGCAGGUUAGCAUCAAUUUCGGUUAUCAUAAAAAAUUUGAGAGAAUGUGGCUUUUCUUCGGAAAAGUGUUAUAGAUCUCGAUCUAUGUGGUGACCGGGAUUGAGGAUUGCAGCGGAUACCCUCGUGGCUCGUCACCUGGCUUCUGACGGUUACCCCGCCUUCGAUAGCUCGCUAACAUCGGUGGGACUCGAUUGUCUAGAUGUCAGAGUGAUUGAUUUUCGCUAAGGAUGCUGACGUAAUGGCUUUAAACGACCCGUCUUGAAACACGGACCAAGGAGUCUAACAUGUGUGCGAGUGUUUGGGUGUUGAAACCCGGAACGCGUAAUGAAAGUAAUAUUGGUGGGAACCCCUUCGGGGUGCACCAUCGACCGAUCAGGAUAUUUUUUGAUAGAUUUGAGUACGAGCACAUCUGUUGGGACCCGAAAGAUGGUGAACUAUGCCUGAAUAGGGUGAAGCCAGAGGAAACUCUGGU
This 977-nucleotide ribosomal RNA is filed under the name Acaulospora sp. WUM18. RNAcentral's name for it is "eukaryotic LSU rRNA". It matches the Rfam family "Eukaryotic large subunit ribosomal RNA", at positions 1 to 868 of the family's 3401-position model. The record is from RNAcentral. Lineage: Eukaryota; Fungi; Glomeromycota; Glomeromycetes; Diversisporales; Acaulosporaceae.